This 1040-nucleotide long non-coding RNA is filed under the name Homo sapiens (human). RNAcentral's name for it is "long non-coding RNA NONHSAT248962". The record is from RNAcentral. Lineage: Eukaryota; Metazoa; Chordata; Mammalia; Primates; Hominidae.
UCAUUCAUUACUCCCAAAUGUGAUUAUUAAUAAAAUAGUAUUCUAAAGAGUUACAUCAUUUCUUCAUUGGCAUUAUGCAAGGGAAUAGUUAGGCAAUACCGUCUCAUUCUUUUUUAAAAAAAAUAACAGUGGCUCAAGAGAUAGUGGUCAUGUUGCCAACUAAUGAAAAUGUGCUCUGAAAUCCAGUCAGCUGGGUGGGCCUGAGGCAUACCGUGGGAAAGUUUCCCACAGGCUGAUUUUCUGUCCAUCUCAAGAACCUGUAUGUUCUCUUCUUUCCCUUUCCCCAGGUGCCCCCUGCUGAAUUUAGAAAAGUAACAAUAUAUCAAUCAAUUUAAAAAGGGUAGAAUAUUUUGGAAUGACGGGUUGUAGUGUUUUCUAGAGUGCUUUAGUUUUGACAUUUUAUCAGUAUUUUCCAGAGGUAAAUAAAUUUUGGAAGGAUUAUUACUUCUCUGUUGGGGCCCUAGAACAAUUUAGUCUUUUAUGGAAAAGCUGACUAUCUGGGAUCAUAUGCUCAGUUUGUAUAUUUGAGAUCUGAGAGAUCACGUUCUGAAGUCUUCUCAUAUUUAGUACACCUCUGAUUCUCACUAGUUGAAUGCAAGAACUUGAAAGGUUCAGGUAAGUGUUUUGAAAAAUUUUGACUUUCCAAACUUUUGCCACUUGCUAUCUGAAACUCAGGAAUCAAAAAAUACCGACAGGCACUGUUACUUUCAAAAUUCUUUCUAUAAGUUGAGAAUGGGACAGAUUUGCAGAGCAAGGGAAACUUGAACAGUUACUUCUAGUGGUAGGAAAUGAGGUGGCUAGGAUAUUACCCAGCUGGUGGGUGACUUGGGCAGUGUGUUCCUGCUUUCAGUGGUUAGCCUUUAGCAAAUCUGCUUUAGAGUGAGAGUAGAGGGCAGGCUGUUGUAUUACAGUGCUCUUGUUUUUGUAAAAUUUAAUUCACUCUACUGUUAUUUUGUCUCCUUGGGUAAAGUGUUAUUUAAUUUUUCUUCAUUUUUUAGUAAUAUAUAACAGUCAGUGAGAGAAUUUGGUUUUCAGAGAUG